CGGGGGAUAUUGCACAAUGGGCGAAAGCCUGAUGCAGCGACGCCGCGUGGGGGAUGAAGGCCUUCGGGUUGUAAACUUCUUUUGCUCUGAACAAGGCGCACCAUGGGGUGUGUUGAGUGUAGGGGUUGAUUAGCGCCGGCUAACUACGUGCCAGCAGCCGCGGUAAUACGUAGGGCGCGAGCGUUGUCCGGAAUUAUUGGGCGUAAAGGGCUUGUAGGUGGCUGGUUGCGUCUGUCGUGAAAGCUCAUGGCUUAACUGUGGGUUUGCGGUGGGUACGGGCUGGCUGGAGUGCAGUAGGGGAGGCUGGAAUUCCUGGUGUAGCGGUGGAAUGCGCAGAUAUCAGGAGGAAUACCGGUGGCGAAGGCGGGUCUCUGGGCUGUUACUGACACUGAGGAGCGAAAGCAUGGGGAGCGAACAGG
This 419-nucleotide ribosomal RNA is filed under the name bacterium. Its description in RNAcentral is "partial 16S ribosomal RNA". It matches the Rfam family "Bacterial small subunit ribosomal RNA", at positions 355 to 776 of the family's 1533-position model. The record is from RNAcentral.